This 506-nucleotide ribosomal RNA is filed under the name uncultured bacterium. RNAcentral describes it as "partial 16S ribosomal RNA". It matches the Rfam family "Bacterial small subunit ribosomal RNA", at positions 29 to 523 of the family's 1533-position model. The record is from RNAcentral.
AGUGAACGCUGGCGGUAGGCCUAACGCAUGCAAGUCGAACGGCAGCACAGGAGAGCUUGCUCUCUGGGUGGCGAGUGGCGGACGGGUGAGGAAUACAUCGGAAUCUACUCUGUCGUGGGGGAUAACGUAGGGAAACUUACGCUAAUACCGCAUACGACCUACGGGUGAAAGCAGGGGACCUUCGGGCCUUGCGCGAUUGAAUGAGCCGAUGUCGGAUUAGCUAGUUGGCGGGGUAAAGGCCCACCAAGGCGACGAUCCGUAGCUGGUCUGAGAGGAUGAUCAGCCUCACUGGAACGGAGACACGGUCCAGACUCCUACGGGAGGCAGCAGUGGGGAAUAUUGGACGAUGGGCGCAAGCCUGAUCCAGCCAUACCGCGUGGGUGAAGAAGGCCUUCGGGUUGUAAAGCCCUUUUGUUGGGAAAGAAAUCCAGCUGGCUAAUACCCGGUUGGGAUGAAGGUACCCAAAGAAUAAGCACCGGCUAACUUCGUGCCAGCCGCCGCCGUAA